This is a non-coding RNA of Solanum lycopersicum (tomato), 2006 nucleotides long. NCBI's taxonomy places the organism in Eukaryota, Viridiplantae, Streptophyta, Magnoliopsida, Solanales, Solanaceae. The record is from RefSeq and is a predicted model, not a curated record.
AAAAUAUGGGGAUUGGGUAUCAUGUUCGUCGUAUCCCUCCAUCUUUUGUAUUUUUCAUCAUUCAAUCAACAACAGUUGCUGAAUCUUCUUCAUCCAUUCUGUAUUCUCUUCUCUUUAAUUGCAUAAAUAUCAAAUGACUCAUUCUCUAACUUUAGCUUCUACAGCUCUAAUUCGAUACGGCAUUGGUCCAAAAAUUGGGGCUUUACCUAGGGCAAAUAUGCCAUCGAGAUCAUCUUCAAGGUUAUUCAGAAUUCAAGCUGUGCAAGAUAAUGGGGGAGGGCCUCGGAGGCUAAUAGAUAUUAUUCGCAAUGUUCCUGAGGUUUCGAGAAAUUAUUUCAAAACUCCUUCACGGAGGGCACUCUUUGGAGGUAUAUCAUUACUGGGUGGAUUUUAUGUGGCCCAGACAAUUUCUCUAUCUUUUGGAGCUUUAGGAGUGAAUGAUGUGAUUGCUGCUGUAGUGUGUGUCUUAAUUACUGAAUAUGUGACGCGAUUCUACUACACUCGACCUAAGGUGACUUUUCCGAUUGCUCUUUUGAACAACUUCAAGAUGGGUUUUACCUAUGGUCUGUUCAUUGAUGCCUUCAAACUUGCCAGCUGAAUUGAUUGCCACACUUUUGUAGCAAAAAUUGAUGUGAGAGUUACUCAUUUCUUGUGUCUUGAAAUCUUAUAAUCACCUCGGUUUGCUUACUGUGCUUUGGGAGUUGGUGGAAGUUAAAGCAUUUUACUCAGUACAAGUUCAAGAAGUAAAAAGUUCGUUUUUUACCCCUACCUUGAGCUACCACUUGCGAGAGUGCUUACCAUUUGAGCAACCACUCUUUCCAAAAAGUAAAAAGUGAUGCCAAAAUGAAGGACAUCUUUCAUAUUGAGCCUCUCAUUAGGAGAUUCAGCUGUGCAAUUCAAUGCCAACUCCAAAAUAGAGGUCAGACAACUCAACUUUUUAUCAAAAUCAAUCUCUUCAGGUUGCAAUAAGGUGUCAUCAAUAAUAUCAGCUGGUGCUACAGGUAGUGAAUUACAGACCCAACUCCUCAUGUUCAAAUUUUCUUGAAACAUUUCAUCGUAUGGCCUUUUCCUUGUGAAAGUUUCCAUGAGCAUAAUGCCGUAACUGUACACAUCACAUCUUCUAGAAACUAAUCCAACUGAUCCAUACUCUGAUUCAGUAUUACCAGAGUAAUUAGUUUCUUGAUGAGCCAGAUAAAGAAAUGAAAAUAUUUUACAUAUAUAUGUGUGUGUAUAUAUAUAUUUUCUAUAUAUUGAAAAUAGUUGAAUCUACCUCGAGUAGAGAAGAACUUUAAAAACUGAAAGGUAUAAUGGAAUUGAAACAAGUGUAAGGAAAUCAAUUGAAAUGAUAUGGACUUCUAGUAGAUUAAAGAUGAUAUUAGAAAGAUCCAAUCUAUGAGUUCACUUGGCUGUUUCACUUCCACGCAUACCUUAAGAGAAGGCACUCCUGCUACAUGCUUGCUGAAUUGGCUGAAUAGUGCAAAAUGAUUACCUUCUUCACUGAGGCUAUAGAUCUUCCAUUUAAGAUUAUAUCCACGUUGAAGAAGAUAUAUGUAGUUGGCAAGCCUAAUCUCUGCUUGGUCUAAUAAAAUCUUAGUAUUUAGAUAUCUUUUUGUAUGCUUAAUUGAUGUGGGCAACCCUUUUUCCCCCUUUCUUCUUUUCCUCAUACCUAUUAUAGUAAAUUUGUAUUGCUGAAUGCUGAGGUCAGACAUAGUCCCCCUCUAUGACCUUUGGCUUAUCUAUUGAAUCUCCUUUUUACGUAACUUUUGAUUAAUUUUUUUUUUUGAAAUGAUACUACCACAUGUUUCUUUUUCUUUAUCACCAUAGAUGCAUAAAUAUAGAGUUUGACAUAAGUCAUAUUUCGAUGUUUUCUUUCUAUAUCAUUUUCGUUCAUGCUUAAUCUGUGAUUUGUUACAUCUUUAAUUAAGCUAUUCACUCAGGCUUCCACCCAGUUUUAGUGUGAUGUAAUAGUAAACUAAUUACUAAGUAUUAUUGGAUGUAAAACAACA